GUGUGAAAUAGUCAUUUGGGUUCGCGGGAGAGUAUGGUUAUGAGGGUAUUGAAGUAAUUAACUUUUGCAGAGGAAAGAGCCAAGCUGUAUGAGCUCAGCAUAAAUUUAUAGUGGAGAAAGUCAGAUGCACAGUGAGACUUUCUCCAACAGCGUUCAGCAGUUCUGGAGCAUCUUUGGAGGUAUCAAGUGAGCUUUGUGUGCCAGGGUUGUUGUUGGGGGCGCCUGCGGCAUUUAAAUGUACAAGGUGCCAUGAUGUCUAGUUGAGAGGAGAGGGUGGAAUUGUAGAAGGAGGUUGCAGAACUAGAACAUUGGAGGUUUCUGUGAGAGUGAUGUUCAGACGGUGGUGUCAUCUGGGUCUUAGGUAUAUCAAAAGUCAGCAGAUGGUGGUCAGAUAGAGAAAAAAGAAUAUUGGAGAGAUUAGAGACAGUACAGAGGUUGGUGAAGGCGAGAUCAAGAGUGUUUCCCGCUGUAUGGGUUGCUAAAUUGGACCAUUGCGUAAGGCCAAAGGAGGAGGUUACAGAGAGCAGACUACUACUAAACAGCAAUGCUUUACAC
Pelobates cultripes (western spadefoot toad) is the source of this 555-nucleotide non-coding RNA. Lineage: Eukaryota; Metazoa; Chordata; Amphibia; Anura; Pelobatidae. The record is from the annotation of a GenBank genome assembly.